This 309-nucleotide ribosomal RNA is filed under the name Triticum aestivum (bread wheat). Its description in RNAcentral is "partial small subunit ribosomal RNA". The record is from RNAcentral. Lineage: Eukaryota; Viridiplantae; Streptophyta; Magnoliopsida; Poales; Poaceae.
AUGGCUCGGCUCUACCAGCUCACCGUCCUCUCCGUCUUCUUCUUCCUGCUCCUCACCGGCCUCGUGGCUGCCGAUCCGUCUGGAGGGAAGAAGGUCGGGAAGAAGGUGAUCAUGACGGUGCGGUAUCCGGCUGCCGACUCGGGGGAGAAGGUCACGAUCUCGACGCACCUCAUCGGCGAGGGCGGGGUCGGCGACAGCCACUUCCAUCUCGACGGCGACGACUACGAACCCAUCAUUUUCGCCACGAAAAACCUUGUGUCGGCCCUGGAGAAGGUAGGAGAUCCGCAGGCCUCUCUAUCCGAGCUGUAG